This is a long non-coding RNA of Phacochoerus africanus (Common warthog), 795 nucleotides long. RefSeq lists it as uncharacterized. Lineage: Eukaryota; Metazoa; Chordata; Mammalia; Artiodactyla; Suidae. The transcript has 5 exons. The record is from RefSeq and is a predicted model, not a curated record.
CGCGCGGUGGACUGGGGCAGUGUGGAGGGAGCUGGGACGUCUAGGAGGGCGGUCUCCGCCCGAGUCCUAGGGGAGAACGGAUGCAGGCGCCCUCCGUCCGCGCGCCUCCAGUCUUGUUAGGCCUCGGGGGCCUGGAAGCCCCCGGGAGCCUGGGAGGGGCCUGGUGACCAGAACAAAACCUGACAGAGAAGCCAUCUUCCAGUGUCCUGCAGGGCAGAAGAACCUGGCCCACACCCUUGAAUGCAGGCCCAUGGAGAAGGGACGUGCUCCGUUAAGCAAGCUACAACGCAGGGGCGGAUCCCAGGGAGGCCAGAACUGCCCGGCUCCACACCAAAGAAACAGGUGGACAAAAAGGAAGCUUCUGAUGCCGACUCCACACCGGAGGGGUUUCUACACCUGGCCCAUCCUGCUGCCACAAGAGGGCUGCUGUGGGGACGCUGAUGGAGCCGCCUCGGGCCUGUGCCGUGGAGUCUGUGUCAGGAUGUUUACAGCGCCCCCAAAACACAAUCUGACCUACUGGCAGCCAUUGGCGACCUGAACCCUCUGCAAACACUUUGCUCAAUGGAGACGGAAUUUGGUGGCACCUCAAUGAUGGACUACUGGCUGCUAGAAAGGAGAAAAAAAUAAGCCUUGCUUCAGCCACCCAGUCUGUGGUCUCGGUUAUGGCAUCCAGAGCACAUGAAUACAACUGUCAUAAUACAAUUAUUGUCAGACUCUCAAUAAGCUUGUGUCUUGGGGGAGGGUGAGGAAGGAAAAAAUUGUAACUGGAAUAAAACUCUUGGUCUAAAUGGAAAA